Molecule: ribosomal RNA, 490 nt
Filed under: uncultured bacterium
Lineage: Bacteria
Description: partial 16S ribosomal RNA
Rfam family: Bacterial small subunit ribosomal RNA
Source: RNAcentral
GAUGAACGCUAGCUACAGGCUUAACACAUGCAAGUCGCGGGGCAGCAUGGGGGUUGCUUGCCAUCCCCGAUGGCGACCGGCGCACGGGUGAGUAACGCGUAUCCAACCUGCCCUUCACCACGGGAUAACCCGGCGAAAGUCGGACUAAUACCGUAUGUUGUCCAUUGACGGCAUCCGAUUUGGACGAAAGGCUUGGCGGUGAGGGAUGGGGAUGCGUCCGAUUAGCCAGACGGCGGGGUAACGGCCCACCGUGGCUACGAUCGGUAGGGGUUCUGAGAGGAAGGUCCCCCACACUGGAACUGAGACACGGUCCAGACUCCUACGGGAGGCAGCAGUGAGGAAUAUUGGUCAAUGGGCGUAAGCCUGAACCAGCCAAGUAGCGUGCAGGAUGACGGCCCUAUGGGUUGUAAACUGCUUCUAUGCGGGGAUAAAGUGGCCCACGUGUGGGCUUUUGCAGGUACCGCAUGAAUAAGGACCGGCUAAUUCCGUG